Molecule: non-coding RNA, 79 nt
Organism: Rattus norvegicus (Norway rat)
Lineage: Eukaryota; Metazoa; Chordata; Mammalia; Rodentia; Muridae
Source: Rfam
CUAGUAGUGCCAAAGUGCUCAUAGUGCAGGUAGGUUUUGCUGCACUCUACUGCAGUGUGAGCACUUCUGGUACUCUUCG